This 1443-nucleotide ribosomal RNA is filed under the name metagenome. RNAcentral describes it as "bacterial SSU rRNA". It matches the Rfam family "Bacterial small subunit ribosomal RNA". The record is from RNAcentral.
AGAGUUUGAUCCUGGCUCAGGAUGAACGCUGGCGGCGUGCUUAACACAUGCAAGUCGAACGCACCUUCGGGUGAGUGGCGGACGGGUGAGUAACGCGUGAGAAUCUGCCCUCAGGAGGGGGAUAACGGCUGGAAACGGCCGCUAAUACCCCAUAUGCCGAGAGGUGAAACGAGUUUUCGCCUGAGGAUGAGCUCGCGUCUGAUUAGCUAGUUGGUGGGUAAGAGCCUACCAAGGCAUCGAUCAGUAGCUGGUCUGAGAGGAUGAUCAGCCACACUGGGACUGAGACACGGCCCAGACUCCUACGGGAGGCAGCAGUGGGGAAUUUUCCGCAAUGGGCGAAAGCCUGACGGAGCAACGCCGCGUGAGGGAUGAAGGCCUCUGGGCUGUAAACCUCUUUUCUCAAGGAAGAAGAUCUGACGGUACUUGAGGAAUAAGCCACGGCUAAUUCCGUGCCAGCAGCCGCGGUAAUACGGGAGUGGCAAGCGUUAUCCGGAAUUAUUGGGCGUAAAGCGUCCGCAGGCGGUCUUGAAAGUCUGUUGUUAAAGCGUGGAGCUUAACUCCAUUUCAGCAAUGGAAACUAGAAGACUAGAGUGUGGUAGGGGCAGAGGGAAUUCCCGGUGUAGCGGUGAAAUGCGUAGAUAUCGGGAAGAACACCAGUGGCGAAGGCGCUCUGCUGGGCCAUAACUGACGCUCAUGGACGAAAGCCAGGGGAGCGAAAGGGAUUAGAUACCCCUGUAGUCCUGGCCGUAAACGAUGAACACUAGGUGUCGGGGGAAUCGACCCCCUCGGUGUCGUAGCCAACGCGUUAAGUGUUCCGCCUGGGGAGUACGCACGCAAGUGUGAAACUCAAAGGAAUUGACGGGGGCCCGCACAAGCGGUGGAGUAUGUGGUUUAAUUCGAUGCAACGCGAAGAACCUUACCAGGGUUUGACAUCCUGCGAACCCCUUGGAAACGAGGGGGUGCCUUCGGGAGCGCAGAGACAGGUGGUGCAUGGCUGUCGUCAGCUCGUGUCGUGAGAUGUUGGGUUAAGUCCCGCAACGAGCGCAACCCACGUCUUUAGUUGCCAGCAUUCAGUUGGGCACUCUAGAGAGACCGCCGGUGAUAAACCGGAGGAAGGUGUGGAUGACGUCAAGUCAUCAUGCCCCUUACAUCCUGGGCUACACACGUACUACAAUGCUACGGACAAAGGGCAGCAAACUCGCGAGAGCUAGCAAAUCCCAUAAACCGUGGCUCAGUUCAGAUCGUAGGCUGCAACUCGCCUACGUGAAGGAGGAAUCGCUAGUAAUCGCAGGUCAGCAUACUGCGGUGAAUACGUUCCCGGGCCUUGUACACACCGCCCGUCACACCAUGGAAGUUGGCCACGCCCGAAGUCGUUACUCCAACCCUUGUGGAGGAGGACGCCGAAGGUGGGGCUGAUGACUGGGGUGAAGUCGUAACAAGGUA